Molecule: long non-coding RNA, 480 nt
Filed under: Cottoperca gobio
Lineage: Eukaryota; Metazoa; Chordata; Actinopteri; Perciformes; Bovichtidae
Description: lncRNA (ENSCGOG00000019687.1)
Source: RNAcentral
CCCCUCCACGAGCGUGCCGCGCGAGACACCGAGCAGACGAGGAAUCCGCGCGGUGUGGAGCGGACGGUGCUCGGCUGCUGGGACAAGUUGUAACGCCGGGACACGGAGAACAGCACCGGGAUGGUAUGAGAGAGCCCAUAUUGGCUUGGACGAGAGCCAGCUGUGUCAGGUUUUCAUGGGACCUUCCGCUGCCGGCAAGCUCAAGGAGAACUCUCGAUGUUGAAGCAUACAGAAGAGACGCUGUCACGGAGCGAUAAAAGCAUUCAUGCAAGCUGCGAUGGGACACAGUAAGGCUGUGGACGUGAUAAGAAAUCUCUGCAGUGCUCCUUUUCAAUCACAGCCCCAACACUAGGCAGUAGAGAAGUCCAUUAUCUACGAUUAAUGACAGCCGUGUUGCGGAGGCAGCCUCAAGCUGCACCGCCAGAUCUGAGACAACCCAUGGAGGCAUGGCCUCAACGUUUCCAACGCUGCUGCCACUAA